This 437-nucleotide ribosomal RNA is filed under the name uncultured bacterium. RNAcentral's name for it is "bacterial SSU rRNA". It matches the Rfam family "Bacterial small subunit ribosomal RNA", at positions 339 to 794 of the family's 1533-position model. The record is from RNAcentral.
UUACGGGAGGCAGCAGUGGGGAAUAUUGCACAAUGGGCGAAAGCCUGAUGCAGCGACGCCGCGUGAGCGAAGAAGGCCUUCGGGUCGUAAAGCUCUGUCCUAUGGGACGAUAAUGACGGUACCAUAGGAGGAAGCCCCGGCUAACUACGUGCCAGCAGCCGCGGUAAUACGUAGGGGGCAAGCGUUGUCCGGAAUGACUGGGCGUAAAGGGUACGUAGGCGGUUAUGUAAGUCAGGUGUGAAAGGCUAGGGCUCAACCCUAGUAAGCACUUGAAACUGCGUAACUUGAGUCGAGGAGAGGAAAGUGGAAUUCCUGGUGUAGCGGUGAAAUGCGUAGAUAUCAGGAGGAAUACCAGUGGCGAAGGCGACUUUCUGGCCUUGGACUGACGCUGAGGUACGAAAGCGUGGGGAGCAAACAGGCUUAGAUACCCUGGUAGA